AGAGUUUGAUCAUGGCUCAGAUUGAACGCUGGCGGCAGGCCUAACACAUGCAAGUCGAGCGGAUGAAGGGAGCUUGCUCCUGGAUUCAGCGGCGGACGGGUGAGUAAUGCCUAGGAAUCUGCCUGGUAGUGGGGGACAACGUUUCGAAAGGAACGCUAAUACCGCAUACGUCCUACGGGAGAAAGCAGGGGACCUUCGGGCCUUGCGCUAUCAGAUGAGCCUAGGUCGGAUUAGCUAGUUGGUGAGGUAAUGGCUCACCAAGGCGACGAUCCGUAACUGGUCUGAGAGGAUGAUCAGUCACACUGGAACUGAGACACGGUCCAGACUCCUACGGGAGGCAGCAGUGGGGAAUAUUGGACAAUGGGCGAAAGCCUGAUCCAGCCAUGCCGCGUGUGUGAAGAAGGUCUUCGGAUUGUAAAGCACUUUAAGUUGGGAGGAAGGGUUGUAGAUUAAUACUCUGCAAUUUUGACGUUACCGACAGAAUAAGCACCGGCUAACUCUGUGCCAGCAGCCGCGGUAAUACAGAGGGUGCAAGCGUUAAUCGGAAUUACUGGGCGUAAAGCGCGCGUAGGUGGUUUGUUAAGUUGGAUGUGAAAUCCCCGGGCUCAACCUGGGAACUGCAUCCAAAACUGGCAAGCUAGAGUAUGGUAGAGGGUGGUGGAAUUUCCUGUGUAGCGGUGAAAUGCGUAGAUAUAGGAAGGAACACCAGUGGCGAAGGCGACCACCUGGACUGAUAC
RNAcentral lists this ribosomal RNA (737 nucleotides) under uncultured Pseudomonas sp. RNAcentral's name for it is "bacterial SSU rRNA". It matches the Rfam family "Bacterial small subunit ribosomal RNA", at positions 8 to 740 of the family's 1533-position model. The record is from RNAcentral. Lineage: Bacteria; Pseudomonadati; Pseudomonadota; Gammaproteobacteria; Pseudomonadales; Pseudomonadaceae.